Molecule: ribosomal RNA, 937 nt
Filed under: uncultured bacterium
Lineage: Bacteria
Description: bacterial SSU rRNA
Rfam family: Bacterial small subunit ribosomal RNA
Source: RNAcentral
GGCUUACACAUGCAGUCGAGCGGGGAAGGGUAGCUUGCUACCUAACCUAGCGGCGGACGGGUGAGUAAUGCUUAGGAAUCUGCCUAUUAGUGGGGGACAACAUUUCGAAAGGAAUGCUAAUACCGCAUACGCCCUACGGGGGAAAGCAGGGGAUCUUCGGACCUUGCGCUAAUAGAUGAGCCUAAGUCGGAUUAGCUAGUUGGUGGGGUAAAGGCCUACCAAGGCGACGAUCUGUAGCGGGUCUGAGAGGAUGAUCCGCCACACUGGGACUGAGACACGGCCCAGACUCCUACGGGAGGCAGCAGUGGGGAAUAUUGGACAAUGGGGGGAACCCUGAUCCAGCCAUGCCGCGUGUGUGAAGAAGGCCUUUUGGUUGUAAAGCACUUUAAGCGAGGAGGAGGAGCUCUAGACUAAUACUCUAGAUGCUUGGACGUUACUCGCAGAAUAAGCACUGGCUAACUCUGUGCCAGCAGCCGCGGUAAUACAGAGGGUGCAAGCGUUAAUCGGAUUUACUGGGCGUAAAGCGUGCGUAGGUGGCCAAUUAAGUCAAAUGUGAAAUCCCCGAGCUUAACUAGGGAAUUGCAUUCGAUACUGGUUGGCUAGAGUAUGGGAGAGGAUGGUAGAAUUCCAGGUGUAGCGGUGAAAUGCGUAGAGAUCUGGAGGAAUACCGAUGGCGAAGGCAGCCAUCUGGCCUAAUACUGACACUGAGGUACGAAAGCAUGGGGAGCAAACAGGAUUAGAUACCCUGGUAGUCCAUGCCGUAAACGAUGUCUACUAGCCGUUGGGGCCUUUGAGGCUUUAGUGGCGCAGCUAACGCGAUAAGUAGACCGUCUGGGGAGUACGGUCGCAAGACUAAAACUCAAAUGAAUUGACGGGGGCCCGCACAAGCGGUGGAGCAUGUGGUUUAAUUCGAUGCAACGCGAAGAACCUUACCUGG